UCCCAGCCUGGCAGAGCAGGCUGAUGGAGCAGUGAGGGCACCAGCGAUAAUGUUCUGUGAUUCUCUACUGCACUCAGGACCUGCAGAGACACACUCAGCCUCUCCACUUGAGCUCCACUGGCUCCCAUGGUGCACUUUGGCUCUACCAGGCAUGCUCUUGCCUUAAGACAUUUGUGCUCACUGUCCUCUCUACCUGGAUCCCUCUUACCCUAGAGAGCCUUCUGACAGGUUUCACUCUCUCAUUUCUUCACAUCUUUGCUCUAAAGUAACUUCAUCUUCAUGAACUUUUCCCUGACCACCCUACUAUAAAUUGCAACCCUCCCCACUCUUCAUGCUAAUAUAGUCUUACUAUGGCGGCCAUUGCCGUCUACCUUCCUACGUAACUUACUAAUGAGAAGGACACCAUUGGCACUGCAUUCCCCAUUGAAUGAUGCCCCCUGGAACACAGCUUUAUAGACUUCAAUGUGAAUACUGCCCCCUAGAAUUGUGCAAUUUGGCAGUACAGAGCCUAAUAUUUGUUGAAAAGAGGCCACAGGCGAUCCACUCUGUCUGUUCAUCUUCCUGAUCCAGUGGCCUCUGAAAUCCUUCUGGCGACUUCUAAUUGUAAACCUUCUCAUACUUGAAACCUUCCCUGUGUCAGGAUGAGGAAGCUGGUAUGACGAGUGGGCUGAUUCCGUUUGUUUGCAGUUUAUUAUCAAACUUGGACAUCUUAUUUCAGAGAGCUAUAAGAAAGGCACUUGAUAAGCUGUCUGCAGCAGUUUCUCCUGAGGGGUCUGCCAAAAACGGCGUGGGAUUUCAGGGUCUGGUUUUCUUUGCCUUCUCCAGGUCUGUUACAUUUCCCAGAAUGGUUCCCAGUGCUGGAGAUAAUUCCUUUUCGGAGAACCUACAUUUCUCACCUGCUGAUUGCAAUUAGCCACUACCAGCUGGGGCCUGGUGUGCAGCUGAAAAGCUAACACGAAGUGGAGACCACGCGGAACCCAGACAGGGCAUAGGAUGUGCAUAAAUAAGCAACGGUGCCUGUGUUUAUGAGAUGCUCCUGUGAAUUCAAGGCUUCCCCACCCUCUGCAUAACUCUCCCUCUUCUGGCUUUGUGCUGCACACCCCUCCCCUAACUAUAUUUUUUGUCUCUGGUUUCGUAGCCUACACUUAACAUCACAGUCACGAAUUUACCACUAAGUACAUUUUGUUAGGCAAUAAACAGCCUUGGAAGAAAAAUGAAAUCCGA
Long non-coding RNA from Macaca mulatta (Rhesus monkey), 1224 nucleotides. RefSeq lists it as uncharacterized. Lineage: Eukaryota; Metazoa; Chordata; Mammalia; Primates; Cercopithecidae. The record is from RefSeq and is a predicted model, not a curated record.